RNAcentral lists this ribosomal RNA (433 nucleotides) under uncultured bacterium. Its description in RNAcentral is "partial 16S ribosomal RNA". It matches the Rfam family "Bacterial small subunit ribosomal RNA", at positions 29 to 507 of the family's 1533-position model. The record is from RNAcentral.
AGCGAACGCUGGCGGCAGGCCUAACACAUGCAAGUCGAACGAACUCGUCGUACUUAGGUGCGGACGUGUGGUUGCCACCGGGGAACUAACACUUUAGUUCCGUGUAACUCACUUUGACUUAACCUCAUAACACUUGUGCCCAUCCCGGGUAAGAGCUAUCGCCAUUUGAGCGGCCCGCGUCAGUUUAGCCGGUUGGUGAUGUAACGGCUCACCAUGGCGACGUUCAGUAGCUGGUCUGAGACGAAGACCAUCCACACUGGGACUGAGGCACGGCCCAGACUGCUACGCGAGGGAGCAGUGGGGAAUCUUGCGCAAGGGGGGAAAGUCUGACGAAGCCAUGUCGGGUGAAUGAUGAAGGUCGUAGGAUUGUAAUAUUCUUUCAGCGGGGGCGAUAAUGACGGUACCCGGAGAAGAAGCCCCGGCUAACUACGUG